Molecule: transfer RNA, 73 nt
Filed under: Tuber melanosporum (Perigord truffle)
Lineage: Eukaryota; Fungi; Ascomycota; Pezizomycetes; Pezizales; Tuberaceae
Description: tRNA-Phe (GAA) (tRNA-Phe-GAA-1-1, tRNA-Phe-GAA-1-2)
Rfam family: tRNA
About the family: Transfer RNA (tRNA) molecules are approximately 80 nucleotides in length. Their secondary structure includes four short double-helical elements and three loops (D, anti-codon, and T loops).
Source: RNAcentral
GCGCCAAUAGCUCAGUUGGGAGAGCGUCAGACUGAAGAUCUGAAGGUCACCCGUUCAAUCCGGGUUUGGCGCA